GGGUCAGUAGGUUGGUCGUGCCACCGGUACGUACUGGACUCACUGAUUCCUCCUUCCUGAACAACCGUAAUGCCAUUAAUUUGGUGUUGCGGGGAAACAGGACUGUUACUUUGAAAAAAUUAGAGUGUUUAAAGCAAGCUAACGCUUGAAUACAUUAGCAUGGAAUAAUGAAAUAGGACGAUCGAUCCUAUUUUGUUGGUUUCUAGGAUUGACGUA
Molecule: ribosomal RNA, 216 nt
Filed under: Glomeromycotina sp.
Lineage: Eukaryota; Fungi; Glomeromycota
Description: partial small subunit ribosomal RNA
Rfam family: Eukaryotic small subunit ribosomal RNA (bases 40-216)
Source: RNAcentral